GACGAACGCUGGCGGCGUGCUUAACACAUGCAAGUCGAACGGAAAGGCCCUGCUUUUGUGGGGUGCUCGAGUGGCGAACGGGUGAGUAACACGUGAGUAACCUGCCCUUGACUUUGGGAUAACUUCAGGAAACUGGGGCUAAUACCGGAUAGGAGCUCCUGCUGCAUGGUGGGGGUUGGAAAGUUUCGGCGGUUGGGGAUGGACUCGCGGCUUAUCGGCUUGUUGGUGGGGUAGUGGCUUACCAAGGCUUUGACGGGUAGCCGGCCUGAGAGGGUGACCGGCCACAUUGGGACUGAGAUACGGCCCAGACUCCUACGGGAGGAAGCAGUGGGGAAUAUUGCACAAUGGGCGGAAGCCUGAUGCAGCAACGCCGCGUGCGGGAUGACGGCCUUCGGGUUGUAAACCGCUUUCGCCUGUGACGAAGCGUGAGUGACGGUAAUGGGUAAAGAAGCACCGGCUAACUACGUG
RNAcentral lists this ribosomal RNA (468 nucleotides) under uncultured bacterium. RNAcentral describes it as "partial 16S ribosomal RNA". It matches the Rfam family "Bacterial small subunit ribosomal RNA", at positions 28 to 507 of the family's 1533-position model. The record is from RNAcentral.